RNAcentral lists this ribosomal RNA (1399 nucleotides) under Salmonella enterica subsp. enterica serovar Typhimurium. RNAcentral describes it as "partial 23S ribosomal RNA". It matches the Rfam family "Bacterial large subunit ribosomal RNA", at positions 327 to 1547 of the family's 2925-position model. The record is from RNAcentral. Lineage: Bacteria; Pseudomonadati; Pseudomonadota; Gammaproteobacteria; Enterobacterales; Enterobacteriaceae.
UGUUAGUGGAAGCGUCUGGAAAGGCGCGCGAUACAGGGUGACAGCCCCGUACACAAAAGCGCAUGUGCUGUGAGCUCGAUGAGUAGGGCGGGACACGUGGUAUCCUGUCUGAAUAUGGGGGGACCAUCCUCCAAGGCUAAAUACUCCUGACUGACCGAUAGUGAACCAGUACCGUGAGGGAAAGGCGAAAAGAACCCCGGCGAGGGGAGUGAAAAAGAACCUGAAACCGUGUACGUACAAGCAGUGGGAGCCCCACCACUAAGCCAGUGGUGAACUCCACAUCCGCAUCCUUUGCUGAGGAUACGGUUAACGGAGCGAAAGCGACGUUCAACCGCAAAACAAGCAGAGGGGGCUUAGUGGUGGGGUGACUGCGUACCUUUUGUAUAAUGGGUCAGCGACUUAUAUUCUGUAGCAAGGUUAACCGUAUAGGGGAGCCGGAGGGAAACCGAGUCUUAAUUGGGCGUUAAGUUGCAGGGUAUAGACCCGAAACCCGGUGAUCUAGCCAUGGGCAGGUUGAAGGUUGGGUAACACUAACUGGAGGACCGAACCGACUAAUGUUGAAAAAUUAGCGGAUGACCUGUGGCUGGGGGUGAAAGGCCAAUCAAACCGGGAGAUAGCUGGUUCUCCCCGAAAGCUAUUUAGGUAGCGCCUCGUGAAUUCAUCUCCGGGGGUAGAGCACUGUUUCGGCUAGGGGGCCAUCCCGGCUUACCAACCCGAUGCAAACUGCGAAUACCGGAGAAUGUUAUCACGGGAGACACACGGCGGGUGCUAACGUCCGUCGUGAAGAGGGAAACAACCCAGACCGCCAGCUAAGGUCCCAAAGUCAUGGUUAAGUGGGAAACGAUGUGGGAAGGCCCAGACAGCCAGGAUGUUGGCUUAGAAGCAGCCAUCAUUUAAAGAAAGCGUAAUAGCUCACUGGUCGAGUCGGCCUGCGCGGAAGAUGUAACGGGGCUAAACCAUGCACCGAAGCUGCGGCAGCGAACGUAUCACCCAAGACAACUUUACGGAGUUGACGAUUGACGGAGCGAAGCGACGUCAAAGCGUUCAUUAAAGUCGAGUUGGCUUAGGGAUACGUUCGUUGGGUAGGGGAGCGUUCUGUAAGCCUGUGAAGGUGUGUCGUGAGGCAUGCUGGAGGUAUCAGAAGUGCGAAUGCUGACAUAAGUAACGAUAAAGCGGGUGAAAAGCCCGCUCGCCGGAAGACCAAGGGUUCCUGUCCAACGUUAAUCGGGGCAGGGUGAGUCGACCCCUAAGGCGAGGCCGAAAGGCGUAGUCGAUGGGAAACGGGUUAAUAUUCCCGUACUUGGUGUUACUGCGAAGGGGGGACGGAGAAGGCUAUGUUGGCCGGGCGACGGUUGUCCCGGUUUAAGCGUGUAGGUGUGUGUUCCAGGUAAAUCCGGUU